GUCUACGGCCAUACCACCCUGAACACGCCCAAUCUCGUCUGAUCUCGGAAGCUAAGCAGGAUUGGGCCUGGUUAGUACUUGGAAAGGAGAAAACAGUAGUGUAAAGU
Cavia aperea (Brazilian guinea pig) is the source of this 107-nucleotide ribosomal RNA. The record is from Ensembl. Lineage: Eukaryota; Metazoa; Chordata; Mammalia; Rodentia; Caviidae.